GACUGCUGGGCGUGGCGGGCUCCUGCCUCUUCCUGCGCUGGAAGUCCCGCUUCAUGGCCUGCAGGGUCCGCGGGCCGAUGGCGCACUGCACCGAGGCGUCCUUCUUCGGGUUGACCUGCACCGCCACAUCCUUGGUAUUGGCCUUCCGGAGCCUCGGGAAGCAGAGUCUGCAGCAGAUCACUGUCUCACUCUUCAAGAGGAUAUGAGUCCUGGCGUCACGCCUUUGAGGUCCAGUAUGGGAUGGGAUGUUUUGGACCACUACGUGAUUCAAUCUCCUCUUCGUUCUGCACAAACAUUACAGGCUGUUCCUGGCAACCAGGAAGUGACUUCAGGUGCGUAAUACGGUUUGUGUGUUGAAUACAUAAUGCUUUUAAAGACCUUACUGAAACGAUGGCUACCUAGCUUGCCAGAUAGAUGGUCAUUAACUGUGCAUUUUGGUUUAUAAUUCUUGUUUUUCUAGUAAUUUACAUCAAUUACUUAAUCUUAUUUCAUCUAUUUAUAUUGUUCAAUCAAAUUAAACCCAACUUGUUUUGGAUGGGGAAAAAACAAGUCAGAGGACAGAAGAAAGGAAACUUUUAAAGUUUUAUUUGAAAUGUGACUUUACACAGGAAAACCAAAUGUUAUGGUUGUGGCUAUAAAAAAGGUUCAUUAACAAAAAAUGGUUCACACAAAGUGUGUGCUAUAUUUCUUUUUGCAACAUUCAUCCUGGCUUCCCACCAAAUCUGAGCUUUGACAGAGGCACCCAUCUCUUUAAUAAAUAAUUUCAUUUACAGAACUAGUAUUUUUUAUAUAUAUAAAUACAAAGGCAAAAGGAACAUUUUAAA
Long non-coding RNA from Xiphophorus hellerii (green swordtail), 824 nucleotides. RefSeq lists it as uncharacterized. The record is from RefSeq and is a predicted model, not a curated record. The transcript has 2 exons. Lineage: Eukaryota; Metazoa; Chordata; Actinopteri; Cyprinodontiformes; Poeciliidae.